RNAcentral lists this transfer RNA (527 nucleotides) under Xanthomonas campestris pv. raphani. Its description in RNAcentral is "partial contains 16S ribosomal RNA, 16S-23S ribosomal RNA intergenic spacer, and 23S ribosomal RNA". The stretch from base 197 to 270 matches the Rfam family "tRNA". Lineage: Bacteria; Pseudomonadati; Pseudomonadota; Gammaproteobacteria; Lysobacterales; Lysobacteraceae. The record is from RNAcentral.
CUCCUUUUGAGCAUGACGUCAUUCGUCCUGUCGGGCGUCCUCACAAAUUACCUGCAUUCAGAGAUUCAUACCGGCACAGGUCGGUAUGCGAAGUCCCUUUUGGGGCCUUAGCUCAGCUGGGAGAGCACCUGCUUUGCAAGCAGGGGGUCGUCGGUUCGAUCCCGACAGGCUCCACCAUAUUGAGUGAAAAGACUUCGGGUCUGUAGCUCAGGUGGUUAGAGCGCACCCCUGAUAAGGGUGAGGUCGGUAGUUCGAGUCUACCCAGACCCACCACUCUGAAUGUAGUGCACACUUAAGAAUUUAUAUGGAUCAGCGUUGAGGCUGAGACAUGUUCUUUUAUAACUUGUGACGUAGCGAGCGUUUGAGAUAUCUAUCUAAACGUGUCGUUGAGGCUAAGGCGGGGACUUCGAGUCCCUAAAUAAUUGAGUCGUAUGUUCGCGUUGGUGGCUUUGUACUCCACACAACACGUACAUGUAGCUCCGAGGCAACUUGGGGUUAUAUGGUCAAGCGAAUAAGCGCACACGGGA